GACGAACGCUGGCGGCGUGCUUAACACAUGCAAGUCGAACGGAAAGGCCCUGCUUUUGUGGGGUGCUCGAGUGGCGAACGGGUGGGUAACACGUGAGUAACCUGCCCUUGACUUUGGGAUAACUUCAGGAAACUGGGGCUAAUACCGGAUAGGAGCUCCUGCUGCAUUGUGGGGGUUGGAAAGUUUCGGCGGUUGGGGAUGGACUCGCGGGUUAUCAGCUUGUUGGUGGGGUAGUGGCUUACCAAGGGCUUGACGGGUAGCCGGCAUGAGAGGGUGACCGGCCACAUUGGGACUGAGAUACGGACCAGUCUGCUACGGGAGGCAGCAGUGGGGAAUAUUGCACAAUGGGCGGAAGCCUGAUGAAGCAACGCCGCGUGCGGGAUGACGGCCUUCGGGUUGUAAACCGCUUUCGCCUGAGACGAAGCGUGAGUGACGGUAAUGGGUAAAGAAGCACCGGCUAACUACGUG
Molecule: ribosomal RNA, 468 nt
Filed under: uncultured bacterium
Lineage: Bacteria
Description: partial 16S ribosomal RNA
Rfam family: Bacterial small subunit ribosomal RNA
Source: RNAcentral